UUUGCAGGUCGCCGUACACCU
RNAcentral lists this unclassified non-coding RNA (21 nucleotides) under Chlamydomonas reinhardtii. Its description in RNAcentral is "small RNA Cre_4140". Lineage: Eukaryota; Viridiplantae; Chlorophyta; Chlorophyceae; Chlamydomonadales; Chlamydomonadaceae. The record is from RNAcentral.